UCGAUGUUUAUUUCUGGUUCCCACAUUUCGUUGACGAUUUUAGUGAACAUCCAAACACACUCGCCUCAGAUUCUAGCACGUAUGUACCAUACGUAUUCAGAGAACGUCUGUGCACCAAUACGGCCGCGAUUCAAGUUGAGCUAGAGACCCACGUAAACUUGACAUGUCACUGUAAUCGUAACACGCAGAGCGCUU
This is a long non-coding RNA of Amphibalanus amphitrite, 195 nucleotides long. RefSeq lists it as uncharacterized. Lineage: Eukaryota; Metazoa; Arthropoda; Thecostraca; Balanomorpha; Balanidae. The record is from RefSeq and is a predicted model, not a curated record. The transcript is spliced from 2 exons.